GGAGCGCUUUAGUUUCGCAUUACCGUUUUAUUAAUCGACUACGCGUCGUCUAAAGAAGUCGAACGGCUUUCACCGCCGCUAGGUGAUCUAAGCGGCAUGUUGUUCGGAAUUUUAUGUCUUYUGUUGCUCCCCUUUGGUUUUGCAUCCAUCAACACAACUUGUCUUCCCUCUGAUGAAGUGGAUGCAUUGAGGGUAAUCGGAAGGAAGUUGGGUAAAAAUUGGGAUUUCAACGAGGAUCCAUGCACCGGAAGAGGAAAUUGGGUCUCUGCUGUUGUUGGUGACGAUGCAAAUAAAGUCACUUGCUCAAUAGCCAACACCACCUGCAAUAUUGUUAGCAUGUAAUUUUUUUGUUCUCUAACUUUUUUUUGGUGAAUUACUA
Molecule: long non-coding RNA, 379 nt
Organism: Cynara cardunculus var. scolymus (artichoke)
Lineage: Eukaryota; Viridiplantae; Streptophyta; Magnoliopsida; Asterales; Asteraceae
Exons: 2
Source: RefSeq, a predicted model, not a curated record